RNAcentral lists this long non-coding RNA (237 nucleotides) under Prunus dulcis (almond). RNAcentral's name for it is "sRNA ncRNA". The record is from RNAcentral. Lineage: Eukaryota; Viridiplantae; Streptophyta; Magnoliopsida; Rosales; Rosaceae.
AUGGAGGGAAACUUGUUUGGUAUGAAAACUAUAAGAAUUGGAAAUGAUUUCAUGCACCUACACCAAUCAGUCAAGUUUCAACAGAAACAAUCGAGAAUGCUGGCUACCUUUAAUUUUUUUAUAUUUUUAAUUCACAUUCUCAUUCUGCAAUGUUGUAUUACGUUAAAAAAAACGUUCACUUUUUUUUUUAAUUUCUGCAAAAAAAUAAAACUUACUGAAAAUCAUUUAGUUAUUUGA